Lytechinus variegatus (green sea urchin) is the source of this 212-nucleotide small nucleolar RNA. RefSeq annotates it as small nucleolar RNA SNORA53. NCBI's taxonomy places the organism in Eukaryota, Metazoa, Echinodermata, Echinoidea, Temnopleuroida, Toxopneustidae. The record is from RefSeq and is a predicted model, not a curated record. The transcript has a single exon.
GACACCUUAGUUCCAUCGGUGCUUGUGUCUUGUUAUUGUAUGGCUGUGUCAGUGUUUUGCACAAGGUGUUGCAGCCACCCAGCAACGCUACAACGUUGUGUACCAUUGGAAGUGCUUGAGUCAUUGGUGUGUGAGAUCAAUAUACCUCCAGUAGGAGCACUCUGACAAUCUUGUUUGAUGCUAACAAGUUUGCUGCUCUUGAUGGGGACAUU